GUGAGGAAUUUUCCGCAAUGGGCGAAAGCCUGACGGAGCAAUGCCGCGUGAAGGAUGAAGGCCUAUGGGUUAUAAACUUCUUUUCUUAGAGAAGAAUAUUGACGGUAUCUGAGGAAUAAGCAUCGGCUAACUCUGUGCCAGCAGCCGCGGUAAGACAGAGGAUGCAAGCGUUAUCCGGAAUGAUUGGGCGUAAAGCGUCUGUAGGUGGCUUCAAAAGUCUCCUGUCAAAGAUCAGGUCUUAACCCUGGGCCGGCAGGAGAAACUCUGAGGCUAGAGUUUGGUAGGGGCAGAGGGAAUUCCCGGUGGAGCGGUGAAAUGCGUAGAGAUCGGGAGGAACACCAAAGGCGAAAGCACUCUGCUGGGCCACAACUGACACUGAGAGACGAAAGCGAGGGGAGCAAAAGGGAUUAGAUACCCGGGUAGUCC
Molecule: ribosomal RNA, 426 nt
Filed under: uncultured bacterium
Lineage: Bacteria
Description: partial 16S ribosomal RNA
Rfam family: Bacterial small subunit ribosomal RNA
Source: RNAcentral